UGCCAGCCGCCGCGGUAAUACGAAGGGACCUAGCGUUGUCCGGAAUCACUGGGCGUAAAGAGCAUGUAGGCGGAUGCUUAAGUUAGAUGUGAAAGCUUGAAGCUUAACUUCAAAAUUGCAUCUAAAACUGGAGAACUAGGUUCUUGGAGAGGUUGAUGGAAUUACCGGUGUAGCGGUGAAAUGCGUAGAUAUCGGUAGGAACACCAGUGGCGAAAGCGAUCAACUGGCCAAGUAACGACGCUGAGGGACGAAAGCGUGGGUAGCAAACAGGAUUAGAUA
Molecule: ribosomal RNA, 279 nt
Filed under: uncultured bacterium
Lineage: Bacteria
Description: partial 16S ribosomal RNA
Rfam family: Bacterial small subunit ribosomal RNA
Source: RNAcentral